This 496-nucleotide ribosomal RNA is filed under the name uncultured bacterium. RNAcentral describes it as "partial 16S ribosomal RNA". It matches the Rfam family "Bacterial small subunit ribosomal RNA", at positions 28 to 507 of the family's 1533-position model. The record is from RNAcentral.
GAUGAACGCUGGCGGCGUGCCUAAUACAUGCAAGUCGAGCGAACGGACGAGAAGCUUGCUUCUCUGAUGUUAGCGGCGGACGGGUGAGUAACACGUGGAUAACCUACCUAUAAGACUUGGAUAACUUCGGGAAACCGGAGCUAAUACCGGAUGAUAUUUUGAACCGCAUGGUUCAAAAGUGAAAGACGGUCUUGCUGUCACUUAUAGAUGGAUCCGCGCUGCAUUAGCUAGUUGGUAAGGUAACGGCUUACCAAGGCAACGAUGCAUAGCCGACCUGAGAGGGGGUGCGCCAAAACGGAACUGAGGAAACGCUCCGGACCCUAAGGGGGGGCACAGGAGGGGAGAUUUCCGCAAUGGGGGAAAGCUGAAGGUGCAACGGCGCCGUGGGGGAGAAGGGUUUCCGGAUGGUAAAACCCUGUUUUAGGGAAGAACAUAUGUGUAAGUAACUGUGCACAUCUUGACGGUACCUAAUCAGAAAGCCACGGCUAACUACGUG